UAGGGAAUCUUCCACAAUGGACGCAAGUCUGAUGGAGCAACGCCGCGUGAGUGAAGAAGGUUUUCGGACCGUAAAGCUCUGUUGUUGGUGAAGAAGGAUAGAGGUAGUAACUGGCCUUUAUUUGACGGUAAUCAACCAGAAAGUCACGGCUAACUACGUGCCAGCAGCCGCGGUAAUACGUAGGUGGCAAGCGUUGUCCGGAUUUAUUGGGCGUAAAGCGAGCGCAGGCGGAAGAAUAAGUCUGAUGUGAAAGCCCUCGGCUUAACCGAGGAAUUGCAUCGGAAACUGUUUUCUUGAGUGCAGAAGAGGAGAGUAGAACUCCAUGUGUAGCGGUGGAAUGCGUAGAUAUAUGGAAGAAUACCAGUGGCGAAGGCGGCUCUCUGGUCUGCAACUGACGCUGAGGCUCGAAAGCAUGGGUAGCGAACAGGAUUAGAUACCCUGGUAGUCCAUGCCGUAAACGAAUGAGUGCUAAGUGUUGGGAGGCUUCCGCCUGCUCAGUGCUGCAGCUAACGCAUUAAGCACU
Molecule: ribosomal RNA, 523 nt
Filed under: uncultured bacterium
Lineage: Bacteria
Description: partial 16S ribosomal RNA
Rfam family: Bacterial small subunit ribosomal RNA
Source: RNAcentral